CCUACGGGGGGCAGCAGUGGGGAAUAUUGGACAAUGGGGGGAACCCUGAUCCAGCGACGCCGCGUGAGUGAAGAAGUAUUUCGGUAUGUAAAGCUCUAUCAGCAGGGAAGAAAAUGACGGUACCUGACUAAGAAGCCCCGGCUAACUACGUGCCAGCAGCCGCGGGAAUACGUAGGGGGCAAGCGUUAUCCGGAUUUACUGGGUGUAAGGGGAGCGUAGACGGUGCAGCAAGUCUGAUGUGAAAGGUCAGGGCUCAACCCCGGAACUGCAUUGGAAACUGUUGAGCUGGAGUGCAGGAGAGGUAAGCGGAAUUCCUAGUGUAGCGGUGAAAUGCGUAGAUAUUAGGAGGAACACCAGUGGCGAAGGCGGCUUACUGGACUGUAACUGACGUUGAGGCUCGAAAGCGUGGGGAGCAAACAGGAUUAGAUACCCUUGUAGUC
Molecule: ribosomal RNA, 440 nt
Filed under: uncultured bacterium
Lineage: Bacteria
Description: partial 16S ribosomal RNA
Rfam family: Bacterial small subunit ribosomal RNA
Source: RNAcentral